This is an RNA transcript of Triticum aestivum (bread wheat), 4172 nucleotides long. RefSeq lists it as uncharacterized. NCBI's taxonomy places the organism in Eukaryota, Viridiplantae, Streptophyta, Magnoliopsida, Poales, Poaceae. The record is from RefSeq and is a predicted model, not a curated record. The transcript is spliced from 9 exons.
AUACCACCUGUCAUGGUGGUCAACCACCAUUCGCAUUUUUCGGCGCUAUACUGCUCGCUGGAUGGAAUCCUCCAUCCAUAUAUCAUUUCCGGCCGUCAACGAGAGCAAGCGCUCCGGAUCCGCUCCAUAUCUCUCUCUGGCCGUCCACCAGAAAGCUCGUGGAUCUCAGAAGCUUGCCGGUCGACGAGCAGGCCGGCCGGUUGCUCCCCGGCCAGGUCCGCUCCAAAGCUUCUUUCCCUGCAAUCAGCAGGUCAUCGAUCGACCUCUUGGACCGCAGGGAGUACUGGAAAAUGGGGAAGAGAUUGCUCUCAAAAAGCUACAUCACAUGCCUGGGCUUGACGACACACAAUUUAGGAAUGAGUUUAAUCACCUUAUGAGGGCCCAGCAUCCAAAUAUUACCCAAUUGGUUGGCUACUGCUAUAAUCUAGGUCAUCAGCGCAUUAAGUACGGUGGUGAAUAUAUUUUCGCCCUUGUGGAAGAAAGAGUACUCUGCUUUGAAUACUUGCAAGGUGGAAGCCUUGACAAUCAUAUUUCUGAUGAGUCGUGUGGACUCGAUUGGCCCACACGUUUCAAAAUUAUCAAGGGAGUCUGUGAGGGAUUAAAUUACCUACAUAAUGGAUGCAAAGAUCCAAUUUACCAUCUUGACUUGAAACCUGCGAAUGUUUUACUGGACAAGAACAUGUUCCCGAAAAUUGGAGACUUUGGUUUGUCAAGACUCUUUCCUUUAUCACAAACCUAUAUAACAAGCAAAAUUUUAGGAACACCUGGAUACAUGCCACCAGAAUACAUUGAGAGACGCGAAAUCACAUCGAAGUAUGAUGUAUUCAGUUUGGGUGUUAUAAUUGUGCGGAUAAUAGCAGGAGAUGAGGGCUACUCCAAAUGUGCAUAUAUGUCUUUGGAAGAUUUUCUUGAGCAUGUACAUGGAAACUGGGGAAAACGGCUGAAGGAAACAAUGGCGUUGCAUACAUCAGAGCAAGUUAAGACGUGCAUUGAAAUAGCGUUAAGGUGUAUGGAGGUUGAUCGUGAGAAAAGGCCUACUAUAGCAGAGAUUGUCGAUGAACUAAACUUGGUUGAUACUGCAGAAAGUUUGCCUACAGGCCAGGUCGCCAACUUCCGAAGCAAGCAAAACUCAAACUCAGAGCGCCGAGGCAGAAUCGUAUUCUCUGCCACCUACAGGCCCCCGGUGCCAUUCGACAUCUUCUCCUGCCCUGUCUCACCUUGGUCCACAGAUGAUGAGCUCCACCUCACCGAUGGCGUGUCUGACAACUACAACGGGAGCCCCAUCCCUCCCGCCGCGCUGAAGACCCUCCUCAAGAGCCCGAAGCUGGCAAACGAGGUUGAUGUUACCGACGCGGAUGUCGACACCGGCGACGUCUCUGGCCUGGUCUUCGUCUCCGAGAGGGACAAUGGCCUUGAGACGCUCUACAUUGCCAUAUGCUUUAAUGCUGAUAACAAGGUCAAGGUAUUCUCUCUUGCUGACAUCUUUGGAGCCGCCGACUUCAGCAGCAUGCGCCUGGAGGACAGUGGCUGCAUCGGCGGCGGCUACCGCGUGGGAUCUCACAGCGUCGACCACUAUCUCAUCUUCGUCUCCACAAAGGAGCCUGUGCAUGCACGUCGUGGCCCUUGGACCAUCGUGUACAAAACCAACCUUACAACAGGCAUGACGGAGCGCCUCACGCCACAAGGGAUAUUUGAUUUGAGUCCGGCCGUUUCGCCCUCGGGGAAGACGGUAGCAGUGGCGUCAUUUCAGAGCAAGAGUUGGAACGGCGACAUUGAGAACCUGAAGACUGACAUCUACGUGAUGAACUUGGAUAGCGACCAGUGUCAGGGCCAGGGGCGCAAGCUAAUCAUCAAGAAUGGCGGCUGGCCAUCCUGGGGCAGCGACGACAUCAUCUUCUUUCAUCGACUCACCAGUAUGGCCCUUCUAUCGAGCCUGAUUGAAACAUUUUGGGCUGUGUUCCGGUACGACAUCAACACCGAGGAGACCGUCCAGGUUACUCCGGGAGGAUUGGAUGCGGUGACUCCUGCGGCCAUAAGCGAGACCAAAGUAGCGGUGGCGACCAUCCGCCAAGAGCACAAGUCCAGCAACGUCCGUGUGCAGGCACAGUACCGGCACAUUGAGAUCUUUGAGAUGGAUGUGCCGGGGCUGCCACCGGUGCAGAUCACCCGUAAGAUGAGGCAAAAAGGCGAUCACUACAACUCUUUUGUGCUGGAUGGUGGGGGCCGCAUUGGAUACCACCGCUGCAGGAGUGAGAGUGACCUUGUGCAGAAUGGAGACGACGUCCCUCAGAACUUGCACAGGCUAGAGUCCCCCAUGAGGGACGUCGGUUUACUUCGGGUAUCUGGCAUGUUCCCGACCAUUUCGAAGGACGGCUCCAAGCUCGCCUUUGUUAACAGUGAGUUCAAAGCAGUGUUUGUAGUGGACAGCCAAGGGCUGCGUAUCAUAUACGAGGAAAGGAGCCGAAACUGCGUCUUCUCCCCUGUGUGGAACCAGAACCUCGACAAGGACAUCCUCUAUGUGUGCAUAGGCACCACCUUGAACUCUCACCGACUUGAGAUCUUCGCCAUCUGCAAUGCCUCUGGCCCUGCAACAGGGCAAAAUGUCGUAAGACUCACCAUUGGUGGGUACAACAACGCAUACCCGUCGAGCAACCCAGAUGGCGACAAAUUUGUCUUCAGGUCAACAAGGGAUGGAUUGGCGCCGCACAAGAACCUGUACAUAAUGUUGCACAGUGAUAACGAGCAAUUUGGGGAACAUUCGAAGAAGUGGCACAGACAUAAUGAAGAAUUCGAGGAACCUUGGCAGACGCGGCUGACGAAAGGGAAGUGGACAGAUACCCAUUGCCAGUGGUCCCCAAACGGGGACUGGAUCGUCUUCUCAUCGACGCGCGACAACCGGCUGGACCCGAGGCACUUCUCCGUAUACCUGGUGAAGGCGUUCGACCCGACGGUGUUGAUCAGGGUGACGAGCAGUGGGGGUGAUUUCGGCGGUCAAAUAAACCACCCAGUGUUCAGCCUGGACGGGAGGAGCAUAGCCGUGACAGUGCAUCUCGUGGCGGCUUCCGUGGACCCGGUCUCACUGCCGAACUUCAAGCAUGGAGUGCGGCGCUAUAGCGACAUCUUCGCUGUGGACGUCCACCCAGACGACGAGGAGAAGAAAAUGAAGAUAAACGUGAAGUUGAAGUUGAAGAACAAGACGGAGAAGGAAAAGUUGAUGGGAUUCCGCUUCCGCCGGAUCACGCACAGCAGGUACGAGUGCGGGACGCCAGCCUGGACGAUGGCCUUCGCCGCGACGGACACAAACGCGCUGUGGAAUAUGUUGCCAGACAUGGAGCAUAUGUACGCACUGGGUGUCUGUACUAGAUCCGCAAGCCCUUGACAAUCAAUUGUUGACUCAGUAGCUACGUAAAAGCCGAUGUCGAACAACAAGGGUGAUGCAGGACAUUGGGAAUCAAAGCUUCUUGCAAGCUGGUUCGAGAAUCAGCCCUUUCUGGAUUCUGGAAGCAAAACUUCCAUUUCAUAUGUGACUGUCAAUGAGCAUCGUUGUAAUGUUGCUGUUGCUGCUGCUGCUGCUGCUUGGGAUGGGGAGAAUCUAAUGUAAAGAUUCUAAAUCCGUGUAUAAUCUGUGGACUUACUGAACUAGUUCAGUUAAUUAGUACUGUUGUUCUUUCUAGUGCUGAAGAUCGCCCAAUUUGGAUGUUCCAUCCUUAAGGGCAAAAGUUGGCUAGGCAUAACAAUGCUGUCAUUGCUGUGGCACAAGAUGGUGGCAAACGUUGGAAGAUGGCAGGAUAUUCACUCGAGGCUGCUCCAUCGCGCUGUCCUGAGGAUUGCCUGGAAUCUGGAGAUGAAGUGGAUCAGGUUGGUAUCUUGUGUUCGACACCAAAAGCUGCAUCGGCUAACGGCUCAGCGAGCUCCCCAAGCGAUAGGCGAUGCUUGAUUUUCAUUUUCCGGUCUUUUCCUUGUCCCUGUGCUGAGCUAUUCUGGGUUCACACUUUUGGUUGAGUGAUGCGGCUCUCUAAUCCUUAACUGUUCCUAGAUGAUGUUGCUGGCUGCAUGAGAAAUGGAACCAGUGGGGAAACCCCUAAUUUUCUGUAAAAAAAAAGUUACUACAUCCGCCCCCUCUGUUUACAUAAUCACUAGUAAGAGAUUGAUAUGUCUAACAUUUUUUAUUC